UGUACAUUCCUGGACAGAGAGAGUGGCUUU
Molecule: non-coding RNA, 30 nt
Filed under: Mus musculus (house mouse)
Lineage: Eukaryota; Metazoa; Chordata; Mammalia; Rodentia; Muridae
Also listed under: 1 other name
Source: RNAcentral